GGGUCAGUAGGUUGGUCGUGCCACCGGUACGUACUGGUCUCACUGAUUCCUCCUUCCUGAAGAACCGUAAUGCCAUUAAUUUGGUGUUGCGGGGAAACAGGACUGUUACUUUGAAAAAAUUAGAGUGUUUAAAGCAAGCUAACGCUUGAAUACAUUAGCAUGGAAUAAUGAAAAAGGACGAUCGAUCCUAUUUUGUUGGUUUCUAGGAUUGACGUA
Molecule: ribosomal RNA, 216 nt
Filed under: Glomeromycotina sp.
Lineage: Eukaryota; Fungi; Glomeromycota
Description: partial small subunit ribosomal RNA
Rfam family: Eukaryotic small subunit ribosomal RNA (bases 40-216)
Source: RNAcentral